This is a long non-coding RNA of Neofelis nebulosa (Clouded leopard), 1130 nucleotides long. RefSeq lists it as uncharacterized. The record is from RefSeq and is a predicted model, not a curated record. The transcript is spliced from 4 exons. Lineage: Eukaryota; Metazoa; Chordata; Mammalia; Carnivora; Felidae.
UCAGGCUAUCCCAGUGCACUGGCCACUGGUCUCCAUAUCCCAACUCUCAAUGCACAAGCGCGCGCAAACACACACACACACACACACACACACACACACACACACAGCACUGAAAAGCUGGGGAGAAAGGGCCAAUGCAUCCAGUGCCUUCAACUCUGUCAGGAAGAGAAGAAUGUAAAGCCCCACCACUGGCAACUUUUUUGGUUCUCCACUCUUUGGUUCGCCACCAUCACUGAUCUGAGGUGUAUAUUUGAACUAAGAAAAAGACUACAAAGGCUUCACACCAAAAUGUUGACAAGAGCUUUCUUUGGGAAGUAGGAUCACAGGUACAUUCUUCUUUUUUUCUGUCUGACCCAAGGCUGCCAGGGAAGAAGUGAGUCAGAAGGCUCUGCCUCAAUGUGCCUUCCAAGAGGUUAUCUACCCUCUGUACCUCAGUAAGGCCAUGUGCAUCAGUGAAGUGGCACCAUUGGAACAUUGGUGCAGCGGUUUUGCAUCAGGCCAACUUAACUAAUUCCUUCCUAGAAUUACCUUCUGUAUGUAGUUUCUCAGGAUUGCCUACAACAGAUAUUUGUGGAGCAUUUGGAAGGUAGAAGUGAAACGGCAGCUUUCAUGUUGUGAAGGUCAAUGUGUGGCUACGGGGGCUGCUUCAAACUUGUCAACACAUUGUGACCCAUCCAGGGACUUUCCCUGUUGGUGUGGGCCCACAGCCUUCCCCAGCUCCUGCCACAUCUUCCCCUUCAGCUACUCUGAGUCUGGAGCAAAGCUUAGGUCCCGUUCUGUGGUAAAGGGUACCAGCUUUUGGUUUCAAAGUCAAGGUUGAAAGUGGCAAGAGAAAAAUAAAAGUUCCUUUGGGGGUUUCACUUUGGCCUCACUCUCUCCCACCUCACAUCUGGCUUUUCUUCCAGACUUCUGGCCCUGCUGAUCUAUAACUACUUCAGACCCAUCACUGGAGUGCACUUCUCAAUUACUCUGUACCUGUACACACUGUGGGACUAGUUCCGACUAAUGAAAUAUGGUGCAGCUACAAGACUGAGAAGCAUCCAUCAGCCUAGAUCCCUGAGUGACUUUGUGCAGCAGAACCUCUCCCACAAACCCCCUCUGGAUAUAUAGAAUGAGCAAGAAAUAAGCAU